UACAGAGGUCUCAAGCGUUGUUCGGAUUCACUGGGCGUAAAGGGUGCGUAGGUGGCGGGGUAAGUUUGAUGUGAAAUCUCCGGGCUUAACCCGGAAACUGCAUUGAAUACUAUUCUGCUCGAGGUUUGGAGGGGGGACUGGAAUUCUCGGUGUAGCAGUGAAAUGCGUAGAUAUCGAGAGGAACACCAGUGGCGAAGGCGAGUCCCUGGACAACACCUGACACUGAGGCACGAAAGCUAGGGGAGCAAACAGG
RNAcentral lists this ribosomal RNA (253 nucleotides) under uncultured bacterium. RNAcentral's name for it is "partial 16S ribosomal RNA". It matches the Rfam family "Bacterial small subunit ribosomal RNA", at positions 524 to 776 of the family's 1533-position model. The record is from RNAcentral.